This is a small nuclear RNA of Mus pahari (shrew mouse), 107 nucleotides long. NCBI's taxonomy places the organism in Eukaryota, Metazoa, Chordata, Mammalia, Rodentia, Muridae. The record is from RefSeq and is a predicted model, not a curated record.
CACAUAUACCGAAAUGAGACAGAGACAUAUACCGAAACAGUACAGAGAAGAUUAGCAUGAACCUGCACAAGGAUGGCACAAAAAUUUGUCAAGCAUUCCAUAUUUAA